RNAcentral lists this ribosomal RNA (534 nucleotides) under unidentified. RNAcentral's name for it is "Schizoplumularia elegans partial large subunit ribosomal RNA". It matches the Rfam family "Bacterial large subunit ribosomal RNA", at positions 1902 to 2606 of the family's 2925-position model. The record is from RNAcentral.
AAAAGUAAAAAAAAAUUAAUCAAAUGGCUGCAGUAUUCCUGACUGUAUUAAGGUAGCACAAUCAAUCGCCGCUUAAUUGGCGGAUAGCAUGAAUGGUAACACGAAGACUUCACUGUCUCAAGUAUGGGAGAAAAGAAAUUGAAAUAAUAGUUAAGAUGCUAUUUACAAUCGUAAGACGAUAAGACCCUAUAAAGCUUAACUACAACUUUUUCAUUAUAUAAUGGAUAAACUGGUAGUUUACUUGGGGCAAGGGCUUUUUAAAAAGAAAAAAAGUAAGCAAAGCAAAUAUAAAAAAAGUUUAUUGUAUAAAUUAUAAAUUUAACAAUCAUAAUGUGGGCUAUAAUGACCCGUUAAUACUCCCAAUCAGAUUAACGAUCAAUUGAUAAAAGCUACUUUAGGGAUAACAGGAUAAUUUCAUCAAAGAGACCAUAUCACUGAUGAAGUUUGUCACCUCGAUGUUGAAUUAAGAUAACCGAGCAGAGCAAAAACUGCUUAAGGUAGGUCUGUUCGACCUUUAAAUAUCUUACAUGAUUU